ACGUAGGACGCGAACGUUAUCCGGAGUUACUGGGCGUAAAGCGCGCGUAGGCGGUUAUUUAAGUUACCUAUGAAAGAUACAGGCUAAACUUGUAUUGGUUAGGUAAAACUGGAUAACUAGAGAGAAAUAGAGGGAAGUAGAAUUCCGGGUGUAGUGGUGAAAUGCGUAGAUAUCCGGAGGAAUACCAGUGGCGAAGGCGGCUUCCUGGAUUUCCACUGACGCUGAUGCGCGAAAGCGUGGGUAGCGAACGGG
This 252-nucleotide ribosomal RNA is filed under the name uncultured bacterium. RNAcentral describes it as "partial 16S ribosomal RNA". It matches the Rfam family "Bacterial small subunit ribosomal RNA", at positions 525 to 776 of the family's 1533-position model. The record is from RNAcentral.